This is a long non-coding RNA of Rhipicephalus sanguineus (brown dog tick), 554 nucleotides long. RefSeq lists it as uncharacterized. NCBI's taxonomy places the organism in Eukaryota, Metazoa, Arthropoda, Arachnida, Ixodida, Ixodidae. The record is from RefSeq and is a predicted model, not a curated record. The transcript is spliced from 5 exons.
GGGACGAGUAUCGCUCCGUAACAUAGGGUACACCAACGUUUCGGUGCAAUGUAUUUCCUAGACUAGCCACAGUUCAACCAGUUAAGAGCUAUGCUAAUAUUAGAAGAGAUAAAAAGAAAGCUACGAUCGAACCUUUACAUAGACACGCAAGAAGUAAUAAUAUUUUGAAUCGUAAACAGCUGUAUUGCACGAAUUGCACGAAUCCAUAGCUACACUCAUCCCAAACGGGUGCACGUUAGGGCAUCUAUGCGGCACCCGGGUCGUUCUACCCUGGGUGCACUUCGAACGAACUGAAGCACACAUGCAAUGCGCUCUUUAAGUCCCCUGCGCAUGUGCGAAGAACAUCAGCAACGUUGCAAACCUGAGAGAUGGAGGGACGGAAGCGAUCACUUACCAUUGCUUGGAUUUGCGGAUUCCUUAAACUACAGGCCUCUGUCCUUGUUGAAGGUGGGAGUCACUCUUUUUAUUUUGAAACAAGUGCUACACCAAACAAAUUAUGGCUUUCAUCUCUGAUGGUGGCGUUACUUGCAGUUUUUGCAUAAAUAAAGAUAGAU